UACGUAGGGGGCAAGCGUUGUCCGGAUUUACUGGGUGUAAAGGGUGCUCAGGUGGCUUUGUAAGUCAGCGGUGAAAUCUUAGAGCUCAACUCUGAAACUGCCGUUGAUACUACUUGGCUUGAGUAUGGAAGAGGUUGAUGGAAUUUCAGGUGUAGCAGUGAAAUGCGUAGAUAUCUGAAAGAACACCAGUGGCGAAGGCGGUCAACUGGUCCAUUACUGACACUAAAGCACGAAAGCGUGGGGAGCGAACAGG
Molecule: ribosomal RNA, 253 nt
Filed under: uncultured bacterium
Lineage: Bacteria
Description: partial 16S ribosomal RNA
Rfam family: Bacterial small subunit ribosomal RNA
Source: RNAcentral